UAUUCUUACAGCUAGCAUUUACACUACCUUUUGCCAUGUUAUAGUCCUUGACAUAUGACAGUCAUAGAACCUCCAGUGGUCACUAAGUGAUUGCAGCAGUCCUUAAGCCAAUGCCGUAGUCAAAUAUUUAGGAUAAACCAGAUCUUUCAGUAAUUUCCUUCUAAAAGUUGUCCUCGACUUACGACCGCAACUGAGCCCCAAAUUUCUGUUGCUAAGUGAAACAGAUCUUAAGCACCUUUUGCCCCAUUGUACCACCUUCCCUGUCACAGUUGUUCAGUGAAUUGUUGCAGUUGUUAAGUAAGUCACACGGUUGUUAAGUGAAUCUGGUUUCUCCCCUGACUUAGCCUAUCAGCCUAUCACAAAAGGGAUCACGUAACCUCAAAACACUGCAACCGUCAUAAAUAUGGAGCGGCAAGUACCCAAAUUUUUAUCACAUGACCGUGAGGAUGCUACAGUGGUCAUAAGUCUGAAAAAUGGACGUGUCCCUUUUGUCAGUGCUUGGUCACUAACCGAGGACUCUAUUUUCUUUUUCUCUCCCCGUAAUGGCUGAAAGUGGCAUCUCUUAGCAGAGGCUCUCAGGGAAGUUCCCUUCCUUUGCUUUGCUAAUUCUCUGUAUCUCCACUCUUCUUCCUCAGCUUUUGUAUCACCCAGAAGUUGGAAACUUCUUUAAGAUGCUUCUAGAUGUUCUCCGCGAAUGGAUGACUCAGCCGUAUCCUCUCAUUCAAAUAUUUAUUGUUCGAGGACUGGGGUACCUUAUGCAGCACCCCUUUGAGAAGAAGAUCUUAGAGCCAGUUUUCAUGCCUGUCAUAAACUGUGCCUAUCACCCAGAAAAGAGUAUAGCUAAGGAAGCUCUCUGGACCCUUCAGACAUCUUGAUGUAGCAACCUAUGGACGCAAGGCUGUCAAUCUUAUUCCUCUCCAAUUGAAAUAUUUCCUGACGAUGACAUCGAACUGAAGAAUACCUCCAUCACUAUUUUUUGGCAUGCUCCUGUAAGGGGUGAAGGAGAUACAUAACAGUAAUGUGACCAAAAAUAUUCUGAACAGCCUUGUUCCACUAGUCAUACAACUGGCAAAUGGUCGGAUGAAAGAGGCUGCUGCACGCAAUACAUGAAACUGGAUGUGGUGACUUCCAAACAAAUCGAAGAAGUUUUCCUCUGUCCGGGAUCUGCAAGCUGAUUGCGAAGCCUUGGUGGUUUAGGCUGCAGCUGAUUCAAUGGAAGAAAUCUUUCGGCAGUGUGGCCAUCAGAUCAAGCCGGGUCUUAUUAGUAGUCAACUCCUCUCCAAAGUCAACAGGAGGAUCUCCGAGACCAAGCAAUAAUAGUUUAAUAAUUUAGUAGUUUACUUUAUUGUGAUGGCACCUCGUACAAUGAAAUUAAGUGCCAUCUUCACUGUAUAUUAUACUUUUAAAAAAUCCUAUAUAAAUAAAACAAAAACAUACCUCC
Molecule: long non-coding RNA, 1441 nt
Organism: Pantherophis guttatus
Lineage: Eukaryota; Metazoa; Chordata; Lepidosauria; Squamata; Colubridae
Source: RefSeq, a predicted model, not a curated record